CUUUGGGAUAACCCUCGGAAACGGGGGCUAAUACCGAAUAUUCACUUGCGGACGCAUGUUUGUGGGUGGAAAGUUUUUCGGCUUGGGAUGGGCUCGCGGCCUAUCAGCUUGUUGGUGGGGUAAUGGCCUACCAAGGCGACGACGGGUAGCCGGCCUGAGAGGGCGACCGGCCACACUGGGACUGAGACACGGCCCAGACUCCUACGGGAGGCAGCAGUGGGGAAUAUUGCACAAUGGGCGGAAGCCUGAUGCAGCGACGCCGCGUGAGGGAUGACGGCCUUCGGGUUGUAAACCUCUUUCAGCAGGGACGAAGCGCAAGUGACGGUACCUGCAGAAGAAGCGCCGGCCAACUACGUGCCAGCAGCCGCGGUAAGACGUAGGGCGCGAGCGUUGUCCGGAUUUAUUGGGCGUAAAGAGCUCGUAGGCGGCUUGUCGCGUCGACUGUGAAAACCCGUGGCUCAACUGCGGGCCUGCAGUCGAUACGGGCAGGCUAGAGUUCGGUAGGGGAGACUGGAAUUCCUGGUGUAGCGGUGAAAUGCGCAGAUAUCAGGAGGAACACCGGUGGCGAAGGCGGGUCUCUGGGCCGAUACUGACGCUGAGGAGCGAAAGCGUGGGGAGCGAACAGGAUUAGAUACCCUGGUAGUCCACGCUGUAAACGUUGGGCGC
RNAcentral lists this ribosomal RNA (666 nucleotides) under uncultured Micromonosporaceae bacterium. RNAcentral describes it as "bacterial SSU rRNA". It matches the Rfam family "Bacterial small subunit ribosomal RNA", at positions 136 to 816 of the family's 1533-position model. Lineage: Bacteria; Bacillati; Actinomycetota; Actinomycetes; Micromonosporales; Micromonosporaceae. The record is from RNAcentral.